AAUAGAUACCCGGGUAGUCCACGCCGUAAACGGUGGGCACUAGGUGUGGGCGACAUUCCACGUCGUCCGUGCCGCAGCUAACGCAUUAAGUGCCCCGCCUGGGGAGUACGGCCGCAAGGCUAAAACUCAAAGGAAUUGACGGGGGCCCGCACAAGCGGCGGAGCAUGUGGCUUAAUUCGACGCAACGCGAAGAACCUUACCAAGGCUUGACAUACACCGGAAACGUCCAGAGAUGGGCGCCCCCUUGUGGUCGGUGUACAGGUGGUGCAUGGCUGCCGUCAGCUCGUGUCGUGAGAUGUUGGGUUAAGUCCCGCAACGAGCGCAACCCUUGUCCCGUGUUGCCAGCAGGCCCUUGUGGUGCUGGGGACUCACGGGGAGACCGCCGGGGUCAACUCGGAGGAAGGUGGGGACGACGUCAAGUCAUCAUGCCCCUUAUGUCUUGGGCUGCACACGUGCUACAAUGGCCGGUACAAUGAGCUGCGAUACCGCGAGGUGGAGCGAAUCUCAAAAAGCCGGUCUCAGUUCGGAUUGGGGUCUGCGAACUCCG
RNAcentral lists this ribosomal RNA (547 nucleotides) under uncultured bacterium. RNAcentral's name for it is "bacterial SSU rRNA". It matches the Rfam family "Bacterial small subunit ribosomal RNA", at positions 777 to 1314 of the family's 1533-position model. The record is from RNAcentral.